UGGGGAAUUUUACGCAAUGGGCGAAAGCCUGACGUAGCGACACCGCGUGAACGAAGAAGCCUUUUGGGGUGUAAAGUUCUGUCAGCAGGGACGAAAAAAAUGACGGUACCUGCAGAGGAAGCAUCGGCUAACUACGUGCCAGCAGCCGCGGUAAGACGUAGGAUGCAAGCGUUGUCCGGACUUAUUGGGCGUAAAGAGUUCGUAGGUGGUUUGUUAAGUCUGAUGUUAAAGACUGGGGCUCAACCUCGGAAAUGCAUUGGAUACUGGCAGACUUGAGUGCAGUAGAGGCAAGUGGAAUUCCCAGUGUAGCGGUGAAAUGCGUAGAUAUUGGGAAGAACACCGGUGGCGCAAGCGACUUGCUGGGCUGUAACUGACGCUGAGGAACGAAAGCUAGGGGAGCAAAUGGGAUUAGAUACCCAGUAGUCCUAGCCGUAAACGAUGGAUACUAGGCGUAUCGGGUAUCGACCCUGAUGUGCCGUAGCUAACGCGAU
This 491-nucleotide ribosomal RNA is filed under the name uncultured bacterium. Its description in RNAcentral is "bacterial SSU rRNA". It matches the Rfam family "Bacterial small subunit ribosomal RNA", at positions 355 to 861 of the family's 1533-position model. The record is from RNAcentral.